ACAUACUAAUUGCAAUAGUUUUCGCUCAGCUAGUAGACAUACUAAUUGCAAUACUAACUGUAAUGCAUGCUUUGAGUCAUAGCCUCUAAACUGUUGGGUGCGAAGAACAAUCCCCUCCCCUCUCUUUUCCCCAAAAACUUUUAAAAUAAGAGAGAGUCAUAACUUUCCUUCUGAACUUGGUUCUACAGGAAGGGAAGGGUAUUUAAUCUGAUGACAAGUCUUUCCUGCUAGAACACCCCCCUUCUCUACCUUUGUCUCUCUUCCUACACUGAAUCUUGUCCCCCCAAAAAUAAGGAAAUCUAUCUUCUUCUUCUUCUUCUUCUUUUUAAUCUGGCCUGUUACCUGAGGAAACACUAAAUUGUCUCUGGACAAACCUAUAGCUCAAGGGUUGCUGUUUCUGGCCCUUCAAAUGAGGGUCUAAAUCUUAGAGCCAUGUAGUUUAUUUUUCCAUUUAUGGAAGUAUUAUCAUUUCAAGUUAAGCAGAUUAGCUUCUUGUUAGCUUCUCUUAUUUUAAGUAUUCUUAUAACUGGUAGUUCUUUGAACAGAUGCAGGGCUUAUGGAAAGUCAAACAUGAGCACAUGUCUGAGUUGUAUGAGCAGGCAAAGAAACUGAAAAAUAAGUUUCUUUCAUUCCAGAUUAAUCAUGUUUUAAGGGAACUGAACACUGAGGCUGAUGCUCAAGCAAACUUGGCUGUCAAUCUUGCUGAAGGUCAAAUCCAGGAGGAGUUAGCAUAAUACAUAUAAUUGAUUGCAGGCAGAAGUUUGUCAGGUUUGUUUUAGAAUACAUUUAUAAAGUACAAAUUACGUAAAAAAAUUCACUGUGUGGGCUAAAGUUUGUUCCUGGGUAGGUGCCAAAUUUUGAGAAGUUUAAACCCCUGAAGAUCAUAUGAUUGUUGGCCUUCUAGCUCAUGUCUGCAAGGAACAAUGUGACUGCCGUUUUUUUUUAUGGGCAGAGGCAUGUUAACUGCAGCUCAAUUAAGUCUGAAAUUUGCGCCUAAAGGCAUAUAUUUUGGUUUUAUUUUAAAGCCUUGUACAACAGAUGGUGGGAACCUAAGAUCAUCCACACUGACGGUGGUGAAUGCCUUUCGAGUAAUCUAUAUAUAUGGCAUAGAUUUUUCUUUGCCAUAUAUUUUUCUUUGCCAUAAGAUAACUCUUGGGUGUUGUUUUGCAUCUCUCUUCACCAGGCAAGCAAUUUCAUUUUAUUCAAAUACAGAAAGAUUAGACAUGUAAUUUGGGUGAAACAGUUCAAGAUUGAAUCUUUGUUCCUUGUCUUAUAGGGGUUCCACAUUCUUUUCUCCUUCAUGGGACUCUGUUUUUACAUUUGAAGUGUAUGUUACCAGUAAUUGAUGGUUAAAAAGAGUGGCGUUGCCACUCUUUUGAGCACAGUGAACACCAAAGUACUGGUGUCUCCUCUCACUUAUGCCUGAUCUGUUGUCAUUGCAUGGAUUAACAAUAUUAUUGUCAGAAACGUAUAUGAUUUAUUCCCAAUUUUCUCCAGA
Theobroma umbraticum is the source of this 1498-nucleotide non-coding RNA. The record is from RefSeq and is a predicted model, not a curated record. NCBI's taxonomy places the organism in Eukaryota, Viridiplantae, Streptophyta, Magnoliopsida, Malvales, Malvaceae.